This 484-nucleotide ribosomal RNA is filed under the name uncultured bacterium. RNAcentral describes it as "partial 16S ribosomal RNA". It matches the Rfam family "Bacterial small subunit ribosomal RNA", at positions 29 to 523 of the family's 1533-position model. The record is from RNAcentral.
AGUGAACGCUGGCGGCGUGCUUAACACAUGCAAGUCGAACGAUAACGGAUUAUAGCUUGCUAUAAUUGUCAGCUAAGUGGCGCACGGGUGAGUAAUGUAUAGGUAAUAUGCCUCUUACUAAGGGAUAACAAAUGGAAACGUUUGCUAAUACCUUAUACUCCAUAUUAACAGAAGUUAAUAAGGGAAAGAUUUAUUGGUAAGAGAUUAGCCUGUAUUGUAUCAGUUAGUUGGUGGGGUAAUGGCUUACCAAGACUAUGACACAUAACUGGUUUGAGAGGAUGAUCAGUCACACUGGAACUGAGACACGGUCCAGACUCCUACGGGAGGCAGCAGUGGGGAAUAUUGCACAAUGGACGGAAGUCUGAUGCAGCAACGCCGCGUGGAGGAUGACACAUUUCGGUGCGUAAACUCCUUUUAUAUGAGAAGAUAAUGACGGUAUUAUAUGAAUAAGCACCGGCUAACUCCGUGCCAGCCGCCGCAGUAA